GGCCCGGUGGUCUAGAGGCAUGAUUCUCGCUUAGGAUGCGAGAGGUCCCGGGUUCAAUUCCCGGUCGGGCCC
Molecule: transfer RNA, 72 nt
Filed under: Nematostella vectensis (starlet sea anemone)
Lineage: Eukaryota; Metazoa; Cnidaria; Anthozoa; Actiniaria; Edwardsiidae
Rfam family: tRNA
About the family: Transfer RNA (tRNA) molecules are approximately 80 nucleotides in length. Their secondary structure includes four short double-helical elements and three loops (D, anti-codon, and T loops). Further hydrogen bonds mediate the characteristic L-shaped molecular structure. tRNAs have two regions of fundamental functional importance: the anti-codon, which is responsible for specific mRNA codon recognition, and the 3' end, to which the tRNAs corresponding amino acid is attached (by aminoacyl-tRNA synthetases). tRNAs cope with the degeneracy of the genetic code in two manners: having more than one tRNA (with a specific anti-codon) for a particular amino acid; and 'wobble' base-pairing, i.e. permitting non-standard base-pairing at the 3rd anti-codon position.
Source: Rfam by way of RNAcentral